This 497-nucleotide ribosomal RNA is filed under the name uncultured bacterium. RNAcentral's name for it is "partial 16S ribosomal RNA". It matches the Rfam family "Bacterial small subunit ribosomal RNA", at positions 28 to 507 of the family's 1533-position model. The record is from RNAcentral.
GAUGAACGCUGGCGGCGUGCCUAAUACAUGCAAGUCGAGCGAACAGACGAGGAGCUUGCUCCUCUGACGUUAGCGGCGGACGGGUGAGUAACACGUGGAUAACCUACCUAUAAGACUGGGAUAACUUCGGGAAACCGGAGCUAAUACCGGAUAAUAUAUUAAACCGCAUGGUUCAAUAGUGAAAGACGGUUUUGCUGUCACUUAUAGAUGGAUCCGCGCCGCAUUAGCUAGUUGGUAAGGUAACGGCUUACCAAGGCAACGAUGCGUAGCCGACCUGAGAGGGUGAUCGGCCACACUGGAACUGAGACACGGUCCAGACUCCUACGGGAGGCAGCAGUAGGGAAUCUUCCGCAAUGGGCGAAAGCCUGACGGAGCAACGCCGCGUGAGUGAUGAAGGUCUUCGGAUCGUAAAACUCUGUUAUUAGGGAAGAACAAAUGUGUAAGUAACUAUGCACGUCUUGACGGUACCUAAUCAGAAAGCCACGGCUAACUACGUG